UUUCCAAGGCAAUUUGUUGUGGCGUCAUCAUCCACCACAGGUCCCUAUACCAGGUUGCAUCGUAUCUCUGUUUAUGAGCACUGCGAUCAACUUAUGUGGAGCAAAGUCGAUAUAUUGUUCUUAGCACACCACUUCAAGGCACUGGGUAACUCCGUCGGUUGGUUGUUGUUUAUAACGCACAUCAAGAGCCUUCUUUUUUCCAUCUCGAUACCUUCUGCUACGGUGAUGCCAACUCUGUCCCUUAGGGGUUUAAUAACUUUAGCCUGGCUCCAGUUUACCAUAACAUCUUGCUCAUAGCUUUUCAUAGUCAAGGC
Molecule: long non-coding RNA, 314 nt
Filed under: Androctonus crassicauda
Lineage: Eukaryota; Metazoa; Arthropoda; Arachnida; Scorpiones; Buthidae
Source: RNAcentral